AUUCCACAGGAUGGAUCCAAGGGCUUCAAAUGUGCUUCACAGACAAGGAAAAAAUCUCCCAGUUGGCCGCUCCUGGAUUCCUUAGCUCGGAACUCCAGACACAUAUUCAGACAUGGCCUAGUACAGAUAUGUUCUACAACUGGAAAAAAAUGGUUAUGAUUGAGGCUUAGAAGUGGAGUGCAGUGAAGAAACUUUAGGGAAGCCUGACAACCACACCCUCUGCUGAUCCCUGUGGAAUUUUACAUGGAUAAUGAGUAAAAGACUGUCCUGCCAAUAGAGAAUACAGUGAAACGGUAUGGAACAUACACAGUGGAACAGAGGACACUGAUGGAACAGUGUUUAUAAGCACAAAGUUUGGAAGUACGGAAUCCUAGAUAAAAUCCUGACUGUGGAAUUAACUGCGUGACCUUCGGCAAAUUACUUCAUCUCUUUGAGCCUCAGUGUCUUCACAUAUAAAAUGAGAAUAAUAAAAGCCCUUAUCUCAUAGUA
This 489-nucleotide long non-coding RNA is filed under the name Homo sapiens (human). Its description in RNAcentral is "non-protein coding lnc-LRIG1-1:9". The record is from RNAcentral. Lineage: Eukaryota; Metazoa; Chordata; Mammalia; Primates; Hominidae.